Daucus carota subsp. sativus is the source of this 2409-nucleotide long non-coding RNA. RefSeq lists it as uncharacterized. The transcript has 2 exons. NCBI's taxonomy places the organism in Eukaryota, Viridiplantae, Streptophyta, Magnoliopsida, Apiales, Apiaceae. The record is from RefSeq and is a predicted model, not a curated record.
UCUUAAAAAGAAGGGAAUAAGAUUUAAUAUUUUAUUCCAGUUUGAUGAGUUUUCAAAGUUUUAUAUUUAAACCCCGGGUUAUUGUGUUAUUGAUAAAUGAUUAUAUUUUUACAACUGAUUUUCAUAUAUUGUUUCGAAAAUUCUAGAUGAUAAUUAUGUGAAUAUAUGUGGUAUGUGACUAAGUGUUACUUGUGGUAUUGCUCGUUUAAUUAUUUAUGGUGAUUUAUGAUUAAUAUAUGAAUUUUUGUGAAUUUUAUAUUAUCUGGUUUAUUGCGUUAACUGCUCAUAUGUGUUCGUAUUUGAGAGAAUUCAAUUUCUAUAUGCUCAGGAGAAAAUAUAGUUUAUUUGGAAAUUUUCAUAUCGAUUUAUGGAAUGUUAGAUGAUUUUAUAAUCAAUUUACGGAUUUAAUUGUGUAUAUUUAUAUGUAUUUAUUAAUUAUUUGACUUCCGUAAAACCGUCCACUCGUAACGAGGUAGCAAAUUUUCUUCCCGGAAGUUUCAACAAAACUCACCUUUAGCCUAAUUUGAAUAUUCCGGACAUUUUUCGUGUUUUGACUUUUUCGAUCCGGAGUACGGUUUUCCCCGUAGUCGGUCCGGCGGAGUUUUUCGGGUAUUUUAAUUGUUGAUAAUUAUCCAGUUUGUCUCGAUAAGCGUGAAACGAGAUAUUUUGAUUAUUAUAUUAAUUCUUAUCUUGUCAUAAUUGCAAUGGGACCCGCAGACCAAUAAUUGAGUUAAAGAGCCUCGUUUUGAUGAUUAUCUCGAAAACCAGUACCGAUUGGACCCCGUUUUAUUAUAUAAAGCUACUAAAUACAUAUUUUCAUGUCAUAAACGAUCCAAAGGGGUACCAAUUAUUUGUAAAUAUAAAUAGGCCUUUCUAGAGCUGAUUUUCACCCGUAAAAUCAUUUCACCAGUUUCUCUGCACGAAUACCGAGAGAAACCGAGCGGUGUUCUUCGUGUUCUUCAUAAUCAAACGAAGAUUUGAAGGCGUUAUUGAAGUCAGAAUCAAGCGUGCGAAUAGUCAAAUCGAAGAUAUUGAAGAGUAGAACUCAAAUCAAUCAUCAAAAACAACCUGAGAUUCACAGGAUUUGGACGAGACGAGGAUGACCAAAGACGUUCAGAAGGACAAGUGGUGUUCCAAAGCGAAUAAAGAAUGAGUCGAGUAAGCGAAGUGGUGUGGCGAAUAGGGUAUAGCCAGAGAUGGUCUAGAGACUAUGAUAUGCAUAGAGUAUGAAGGUGGAAAGAUGAGAAUGAGCUGAGAGACGGGAGUCAGAUUUAAGGCAAGUAUCCUAUACCCUUCUUUUGGAUAUCUUGCGAUUAUUCUGAUCCAUUCUUUUCGUAUGUGUUGCAAAUAUUCGUUCCUCUCUUUUUCAUAUUUGGCAAGUGCAAAUAUUUUUAUCCAUCCUUUUCUGAUCCUCAAAAAUUCAGAUAAUUCCAGUUUUACAAAUUAAUUCGAAGUUCAGAUUGUCAUUGAAGCAUGUGUUGCUCAGUGAUGAUUAGAACCUAGAAUGACUUGGGAUCUUCUUGAUUAUUCAACCCGCCAUUGUCAUGCUGGUUUAGCAGGCUAAAUUCAGUUGCUUAGCCGAUAAUGGAGGAUAUUGAAUAGUUAAGGAUUUCCUGAACUAUGAUUUAUGGAAGGAUGGACUCUGGUUUAUGAAAAGUUGAUUAUUAAAGUGUGAUUUGGAAUUAUUCUAUCAUUGAUAUUGAUUGUGUUUAUGUUCUGUUGUUAUACGUUGACCUGUUAUUGAAUUAGAGAAUUGGAUUAUUAUUUUUUUUGAUAUAAACCUGUGGACCAGAUUCGUGGUCAUGUUAGGCCAAUGAGUGCCUUGGAUCCAGUGAUAGAGCAUGGCGGGGCCUGCUCGGGGUUAGUGCGGAACUGAUCAGCUGCCUAACCUUGGUUUUAAUUAAAAUGAGAUAGUCCAAUUCAAUAAUUCUCUUGUGAAGGAUUGAAUUCCUCAGUAUUCAAUUGCCGCAAGGUAUUGUGGUUUUCUUAUACAAUACCUAAACUCGUGAACUCAGGUUGAAUCCUUUUAUAUCUUGAACUCGUGAACUUCUGUUAUAUCAUUUCAGAAUUUUCAUUGUUUAUUACUACUUGCUGAGCGUUGUUGCUCACUCUUGCUAUUCCUUUCUAACCAUUUCAGAAAGGCUUAAAGAUGAGAUGAUUGAUUGAGAUUGUGAAUAAGGCUAAUGCUAGGCGAGGAGACAGAGUUGAGGAUCCAGUGGUCGAGGAGUGUUCAGGAAAGUUGAUGAGGUUGGUGCAAGCUGGAAUAGUUGACAGUGAUUCUUCUUAUCGAAGAUGAUCUGAUUUGGUAAGAGAUGUUGUGUAAUAAUAGUGGUAGAUUCUAAUUUCAAUACUGUAACCUGGAAGCGAUCCUGUUGUUUUGGGGGUGAAGAUGUUCUCUUUCAAAUCUUU